GUGUCAGCAGCCGCGGUAAGACGUAGGAUGCAAGCGUUAUCCGGAAUUAUUGGGCGUAAAGCGUACGUAGGCGGUUCGCUAAGUCUGGAGUUAAAGACCGAGGCUCAACCUCGGGAGUGCUCUGGAAACUGGUGGGCUUGAGGACGGCAGAGGAAAGUGGAAUUCCCAGUGUAGCGGUGAAAUGCGUAGAUAUUGGGAGGAACACCAGUGGCGAAAGCGACUUUCUGGGCCGUUCCUGACGCUGAGGUACGAAAGCCAGGGGAGCAAACGGGAUUAGAAACCCUGGUAGUCC
RNAcentral lists this ribosomal RNA (292 nucleotides) under uncultured bacterium. RNAcentral describes it as "partial 16S ribosomal RNA". It matches the Rfam family "Bacterial small subunit ribosomal RNA", at positions 505 to 796 of the family's 1533-position model. The record is from RNAcentral.